RNAcentral lists this ribosomal RNA (426 nucleotides) under uncultured bacterium. Its description in RNAcentral is "partial 16S ribosomal RNA". It matches the Rfam family "Bacterial small subunit ribosomal RNA", at positions 354 to 796 of the family's 1533-position model. The record is from RNAcentral.
GUGAGGAAUCUUCCACAAUGGGCGAAAGCCUGAUGGAGCAACGCCGCGUGAAGGAUGAAGGUCUUCGGAUUGUAAACUUCUUUUAUGAGUGAAGAAUAUGACGGUAACUCAUGAAUAAGCACCGGCUACUACGUGCCAGCAGCCGCGGUCAUACGUAGGGUGCAAGCAUUAUCCGGAGUGACUGGGCGUAAAGAGUUGCGUAGGCGGUUAUGUAAGCGAAUAGUGAAACCUGGUGGCUCAACCACACAGACUAUUAUUCGAACUGCAUAACUCGAGAAUGGUAGAGGUAACUGUAAUUUCUUGUGUAGGAGUGAAAUCCGUAUAUAUAAGAAGGAACACCAAUGGCGUAGGCAGGUUACUGGGCCAUUUCUGACGCUAAGGCACGAAAGCGUGGGGAGCGAACCGGAUUAGAUACCCGAGUAGUCC